RNAcentral lists this ribosomal RNA (932 nucleotides) under Salmonella enterica subsp. enterica serovar Enteritidis. RNAcentral's name for it is "partial 23S ribosomal RNA". It matches the Rfam family "Bacterial large subunit ribosomal RNA", at positions 1 to 867 of the family's 2925-position model. Lineage: Bacteria; Pseudomonadati; Pseudomonadota; Gammaproteobacteria; Enterobacterales; Enterobacteriaceae. The record is from RNAcentral.
GUUGUGAGGUUAAGCGACUAAGCGUACACGGUGGAUGCCCUGGCAGUCAGAGGCGAUGAAGGGCGUGCUAAUCUGCGAUAAGCGCCGGUAAGGUGAUAUGAACCGUUAUAACCGGCGAUACCCGAAUGGGGAAACCCAGUGUGACUCGUCACACUAUCAUUAACUGAAUCCAUAGGUUAAUGAGGCGAACCGGGGGAACUGAAACAUCUAAGUACCCCGAGGAAAAGAAAUCAACCGAGAUUCCCCCAGUAGCGGCGAGCGAACGGGGAGGAGCCCAGAGCCUGAAUCAGCAUAUGUGUUAGUGGAAGCGUCUGGAAAGGCGCGCGAUACAGGGUGACAGCCCCGUACACAAAAGCGCAUGUGCUGUGAGCUCGAUGAGUAGGGCGGGACACGUGGUAUCCUGUCUGAAUAUGGGGGGACCAUCCUCCAAGGCUAAAUACUCCUGACUGACCGAUAGUGAACCAGUACCGUGAGGGAAAGGCGAAAAGAACCCCGGCGAGGGGAGUGAAACAGAACCUGAAACCGUGUACGUACAAGCAGUGGGAGCCCCACCACUAAGCCAGUGGUGAACUCCACAUACGCAUCCUUUGCUGAGGAUACGGUUAGCGGAGCGAAAGCGACGUUCAACCUCAAAAGAAGCAGAGGGGGCUUAGUGGUGGGGUGACUGCGUACCUUUUGUAUAAUGGGUCAGCGACUUAUAUUCUGUAGCAAGGUUAACCGUAUAGGGGAGCCGAAGGGAAACCGAGUCUUAACCGGGCGUUAAGUUGCAGGGUAUAGACCCGAAACCCGGUGAUCUAGCCAUGGGCAGGUUGAAGGUUGGGUAACACUAACUGGAGGACCGAACCGACUAAUGUUGAAAAAUUAGCGGAUGACCUGUGGCUGGGGGUGAAAGGCCAAUCAAACCGGGAGAUAGCUGGUUCUCCCCGAAAGCU